CUGUUUUACAGGAAAGUCAAAGUUAAGGCUGGCCCACUGUUGGUAACUACAUGGAGAGUGAUGUUGUGAGAUGCAAGAAAGACUUUGGCACGGGUUUCCAAUAUGCACGGAAGGAUCUCACACCCAGAUGGGUAAAAUCAAUCAAUGCUCUUCCACUGGUUGCUGGGAUAUUGGGUCAACCAACCCUGGCUCCCUUCAGAUCAUGGAAGGCGAAGUCAGAAGUGAGAACUUCUUACUAACAUACUGGAAGGAUAAAUGGGAAUGCUUUUAUUUUAGCAGUUGUCACAGAGCAUGGUGGCGAAUGGAAAGAAGAACUGAAGAUGUGCUAAAAGCAAGAGUCUGUCUACGAGAACACAGAAAACAGCACGAUCUGGACUGUGCCUUCUGCUGCAACGUAGCAGACUACAGACACUGAUCCAGGACCUUGAGCAAUAGAGUCCUGUGGUUUGGUUUCCCUUCUGGCACAUUAAUUGCAUCAGGAUCUAGGUUUAUUCAUGGCACUUUCCAUUUAUGAUUUAGGGAAUUUGAAGAAUACUGUUCUUGAGGCUGAGCCUGCAGUUAUAGUCUUGGCAUAUCCAUACCAUAAAAUUCCCGCGGAUAAAAGCAGAAACAUCUGGAUUCAUGACUGGAUGUUGGCUAGAUCCACCAGGAAAAAAAAAGCCUUCAAGGGAUCCUAGAGGGUUCUAGCCAGGAUAAAUAAUACAACAAAAUAAGAGUGCUAUUAAGAGUAAUUGUAAUGCAAAAGCUGAAUUAUAAGAUGAGGACCAAGCCCUUCUCGCAAUCUGCUUUUCCAGCUAAGAGCCCUUCAAUUCACACUUAGUGCACAUGUGGCUCGUGGAACAAAGAAAAAACUGAAGAAGGAUGAAAGCAACACAGAUUAUUCAGCAUUGCUGGUUUAGCUCCAGGCCCAUCAUUUAAAUGAGUAGAUGAUCAGUUUCCAGUUUGUUUUAAAUUCUCUGGCAAGAAAUUUUAUUCUCUAUCCCAAAGUUGGAUGUGCUUAAUGGUGUUUUUUUUUAUUUUUAUUUUUUAAAGCAGCUUUGCCAUUUUGUUAUAUUCCUCAAGGUGAGACCAUGAAAGGGUUCUUGCAGGGGUCACCUGAAUCGUGAGACUGGAGGCACAGGCUGACUGUGUUCCAAGGGGUCCAUGUUGCAUUUCUCAGCCUGGGGGGGCCUCAGGGCUGGAGAACUUCUGCUCCUUUCCCUCCUCCCCCUUGGGCGGCCAGGGGCCCUGCCUUGCCUAGCCAGACAUCAAACCCAUGCUGGGCAGCACCUGAAGUUGAGGGAAGUGGUUGUAGCAGCUGUGAUCCACAGAUCUGCAGCCUCUUUUGCUGCACCACUUGUGGGUGGAAACCUUAUCGGUGAGUCCUUCUCCUGUCUUUCUUCUUGUUCUCUUCUUCUCUGUGCCGGCAUCCAACUGGCUGAGUGGCUCCUGAGGAGCUGUUCUGUUGGUGCCACUCUUGACAGUGAUUUUUCAUGGAGAGGCUUUCAGUUGUUCCCUGAAGAGAUGUCUCCUGUUGCGGUGUUCUGCCAAUAAUUAAUGCACUCUGAACACUGCCAUGGGGCUCUGGGUGGUGCACACACAUUUGGAGCUGGGCAAUACUCAAAGCACGACUGCAAAUAGCAGUGAUGUGCAAAUGACUGUGUUUACACUGCCUUAUCUUUCAUACGAAGAAUAAUCUUAAUUGCACUAUAAGGAGUGGGAGUUUGGCCUUAAAUAGCCUCGACACAUCUAGGAAAGGCAUCUAAAAGUAUGCCCCAGUAUUUCUUAGGACAUUAUUCUCAGCAGAUAUUUGUUAUUGUUGUCUAAUUAAUUGUCAACAUCUGUCGCUGCUGCUGCAUAAGGGCUGGCACCAGCCGUCAGGGCAUUGCAUUCUGCUAGCGUGACAAAGCAUCAUGAGUGCCAAAGCAAAAUGAGGAGAUGAAUCUUCUUGUAGAUGUUAGAAAAUAUUUGGUUCAGAUCAGCUGCUAUCGCUGCUGCUGGCCACGUUUGUCGUGCUAUUCCUCCACCCAGAGUGAAGUCGGCAAAGAGAUCUUCUGAGACUGUGGGGCUCUUGGUUAGCAGCAAACAGCCUGAGAAGCUGAGAAAUGCAGCAGAGCUAAAUUUAGAACCUCAGAUAGGAAAAUGUCUCUAUCUUCAACACUCCGGGUUUUUUUCUUCUGCUCUGCACAAAGCACACCUUGGUUUGCGGGGCUGUUUGCGGAUCGCGCAGACUCAAAGCAGGCUUUGGUUUGUGGAAAAAGAAGGCUUUGAUGUCUUUGGUAAACAAAUAGCGGUGUUAAUAGAUCUUCAGUUCUUGCUAGCAAGCUGCAAACAGCAAUGUUUGAAGAAAAAUAAACAUCCUGAGGUUGAUGGAAGGGUAGGAAGGGCAUAAAGUACUGUUGUCAAAUCCUUGGUCUGAGCCCAUCAGGAAUGUCAGAAAUGAAAAAGCUGUCGUUACUUUCUCCCUCCUUCUGGGUCAGGAGGAAAAUAAACUGGUGCAUGGUUUACCAGCCACA
Lagopus muta (rock ptarmigan) is the source of this 2495-nucleotide long non-coding RNA. RefSeq lists it as uncharacterized. Lineage: Eukaryota; Metazoa; Chordata; Aves; Galliformes; Phasianidae. The record is from RefSeq and is a predicted model, not a curated record. The transcript is spliced from 4 exons.